UACGUAGGUCCCGAGCGUUGUCCGGAUGUAUUGGGCGUAAAGCGAGCGCAGGUGGUUUAUUAAGUCUGGUGUAAAAGGCAGUGGCUCAACCAUUGUAUGCAUUGGAAACUGGUAGACUUGAGUGCAGGAGAGGAGAGUGGAUUUCCAUGUGUAGCGGUGAAAUGCGUAGAUAUAUGGAGGAACACCGGUGGCGAAAGCGGCUCUCUGGCCUGUAACUGACACUGAGGCUCGAAAGCGUGGGGAGCAAGCAGG
This 252-nucleotide ribosomal RNA is filed under the name uncultured bacterium. Its description in RNAcentral is "partial 16S ribosomal RNA". It matches the Rfam family "Bacterial small subunit ribosomal RNA", at positions 524 to 776 of the family's 1533-position model. The record is from RNAcentral.